CCUGUCUUGGGGAAGCCUCCAGCCCUGUCCCUGGAGGCUCCCAGAUGCUCUGACCCCUCCUGCCUUUCUGCCCAGUCACCAUCAUUCAUCCAAGAGCAUCACCAGUCCACUGUCCUCUGAAAGAUGGGUGGCCAGAGCCAUCCAUGACCUGGGCCUCUGCUUGUGAUUGGGCAGGAUGGGCUUAGAGCUUCAUUCGUCCAUCUUCGGCUGAGGUUCCAACUGAGGCUGUGAUCAGGAAGAAUGGCUGCUAUCAAGAAAUCAACCAAUAACAAAUGCUGGCGGGGAUGUGGGGAGAAAGGAACCCUUCUCUACUGUUGGUGGGAGUGCAGACGG
Molecule: long non-coding RNA, 333 nt
Filed under: Heterocephalus glaber (naked mole-rat)
Lineage: Eukaryota; Metazoa; Chordata; Mammalia; Rodentia; Bathyergidae
Description: lncRNA (ENSHGLG00000036920.1)
Source: RNAcentral